UACGUAGGGUGCGGGCGUUGUCCGGAAUUAUUGGGCGUAAAGAGCUUGUAGGCGGUUUGUCGCGUCUGCCGUGAAAAUUCGAGGCUCAACCUCGAACUUGCGGUGGGUACGGGCAGACUAGAGUGUGGUAGGGGAGACUGGAAUUCCUGGUGUAGCGGUGAAAUGCGCAGAUAUCAGGAGGAACACCGAUGGCGAAGGCAGGUUUCUGGGCCACUACUGACGCUGAGAAGCGAAAGCAUGGGGAGCGAACAGG
This 253-nucleotide ribosomal RNA is filed under the name uncultured bacterium. RNAcentral describes it as "partial 16S ribosomal RNA". It matches the Rfam family "Bacterial small subunit ribosomal RNA", at positions 524 to 776 of the family's 1533-position model. The record is from RNAcentral.